UACGAAGGGGGCUAGCGUUGCUCGGAAUCACUGGGCGUAAAGGGUGCGUAGGCGGGUCUUUAAGUCAGCGGUGAAAUCUCCGGGCUCAACCCGGAAACUGCCAUUGAUACUAUUGGUCUUGAAUGUUGUUGAGGUGGGCGGAACGGGUCAUGUAGCGGUGAAAUGCAUAGAUAUGACCCGGAACACCGAUUGCGAAGGCAGCCCACUAAGCAACGAUUGACGCUGAGGCACGAAAGCGUGGGGAUCAAACAGG
This 253-nucleotide ribosomal RNA is filed under the name uncultured bacterium. RNAcentral's name for it is "partial 16S ribosomal RNA". It matches the Rfam family "Bacterial small subunit ribosomal RNA", at positions 524 to 776 of the family's 1533-position model. The record is from RNAcentral.